Long non-coding RNA from Aotus nancymaae (Ma's night monkey), 2781 nucleotides. The record is from Ensembl. NCBI's taxonomy places the organism in Eukaryota, Metazoa, Chordata, Mammalia, Primates, Aotidae.
GAUGAAACUCUUGCAAGUCAGGUUCUUGGAACAUUCUUAUCUAAGGAUUGCAUGUGCUGAGGAUGAGAAAGCAGAUCUGCCCAGUGGGCUUUGGAAGGCGCUGGCUGAGGGGAGGGGAGAUGACCUGGUAGACUGGAAGCCAGAGGACCUUCUGCAUUCUUUAUCUGCUUCUUUUGGAACUGUCAGAACUUAGCAGGACCCAGGGGCCCCCAGCUUAUUUUUGGGAAGUGCUUCAAGUCCUCUGCCAGUGUGCACAGGCAAGAGAAGAGCUUACUGUCCAGUGAAAGCUGCAAGCUUCCCCAGAGGGAGCCCAAGAGGACUGCAGCACAGUGGUUAAGAAGGACCACCUGUCAGGUCUGAGGCCAAGGUUCCUGCACUCUAGCAGAGGACUUCCUCCCCAGCCCUUCAGCCACCAAGAAACACGGACUUCUCCAACUCCCUUGAGCAGUGAAGCACCUUCACUGCCCUCUACCUCAGCAGAGACAGGGGGCCUCAAGCCUGUCCCCAGCCUUAGCACACUCUGUGUAUCCCCAGCACCCAGCCCAUGGCUCAGCCCACAGUGGACACUCAACGAGCUGCUGCUGAAUGAAUGAAGGCAUCUAUCGUCUCCUUCCUGCUUUGCCCAACAAUAAGGUUUCCCAGGAUAACUCGAAAGGCAAUUCCCCUUUUCAUCUGCUAAGCCAUCUGAGGAAGUACAGAAUCUACUGGACACUCAAGAGGAGAGGCAGUCUAGCUAUCACUCAUCACAUCAGCAGCCCCAGCACUAAUGGAGCUAUAAGCCCUGCAAGGACUUGCCUGUCUGUCUCGCCAAGGCUCAGCACGAUGCCUGUCAUGUGGCAGGUGUUGAAAACUAGUCUAUGAAGGAAUAAAGGAAGGAAGGAAGGAACAGUCCCUGAGAACCAGACUGUCUCCUCUAGCUUUUCAGGCACUAGGGGCUCAAUGGUCAGACACCUUUAUGCUCUUCAAACACAAUGCUUCCCUGCACAGACUGUCUUCUGUCCCAUAAAGAGCAGAAGCAAAUGGAAAUCUGCUCAAAUAGGUCAUCCUUGGCAUUCUUCUAGAACAGGCGGAUGGGCAAACAACAGCGUAUGAAAUGGAGUUGUACUGAGCCAUGCUCACCCAUUCACAAAUUGUCUUUGGCUGAACUAAACACACUGUAAGGGCAGAGUUGAGUGGUUGCAACAGAGAACGUUCUAGUCCCUGCAGCCUGCAAGAUUUACUGUCUUCCUCUUUUUGAAAACUGUAUUGAGCCUGGCUGUAGAUCUUCAAAGCAAUUGAGGGUCAGAAGAGAACUCGGAAACAAAGUGUAAACACAGUAGCACUGGGGUGGGAGCAGGCCCCCAGAGGCAGACUGCCAGAAGAGAGUGAAGGUUCGAGCUGGGACAGUGAAGGGGAGACUGUCAGAAGAGGGAGUCAGUAGUUGGAGCCUCAGGAAGGAGCCCCUCAAAACGCCACGUGUGGUGAGGAGUGUGUGGGUUGGCGGCAAGAUGGACCGGGGCUGAAUCAGCUUUCGUGGUUUGCCGACUGCAUGAUCUCGAGCACGUUUUCUUGCCACCCUGAGCUCUGGCUUCUUCGACUCUAUGAGAUGCCACCUACAUCACAAGUUUUCUGUGAACUUUUGAUGAAAUCAGCCACAGAAUCACGUGCCUCUCUGAGAGCUGAUGCAGUACAGUGCUUUAGAGCCUGGGCUCUCAAGGUUCCAGCUGAGGUCCAGCUUCCAACUCUGCCUCUACCUCUUGGAGCCUCUGGGUCCUGGGAAGUGCCCAGCCCCUAUGUGCCCAUUUCCUCAUGUCACAUGUGAGGAGGGUAUCCAUCCCCAGCCAAGAGCUACGAUAAGUAUUAAAUUUCAAAAGCAGGAAAAGUGUCCAGCACAGCACCUGGCACCCAAGGGGGGUUCCCGUUGCUCUUACUAGUGAAUUGGCCAGCAUAUCUCAACCCAUGGCAGGUGCUCAGUAACUGAUUUCUUCCAUCCUCCAUCCUUCCUUCUCUAUGUGGUCUGAAGAGUGGUGUGACAGAGACCCAAUCUGCCCUGCUGCCAACUUGCUGUGUGGCUUUGUGCAGCUGACACAAAGGCUGUAGAUGACUAAAAUGUUGCUUAUACAAUGAAGGGGUUAGUCUAGAUUCAGGGUUCCCAAACCCUGAAGGGAAAAAACUCUGAGGUGCUAAGAAUCUCUCAGGAACCUGGCAAAACAUCCAGCUUCUUGAGAAGACUCUUAGAGAUUUCUUUUUGGUUCUGGAGACCUGGAAUGGGGCUGAGGCUGGAAUUUGUCUUUUAAAUGGGUGCUUGGGCGAUUCUUGACAUUAAGGUGGGUGGGAAACACUUGGCUCACGAGCUCGAAGUUCCUUUAGAGCUGUAAAGUCCCACAAUCCACAUCACGUGUGUGUGUGUGUGUGUGUGUGUGUGUGUGUGUUUGUGUUGAGAGGGGGAGAAGUUGUGUCUCCAGACUGCUGUAACCAUCAACUGGGCACUCGAUUUCAAAAAGAUCUGAGGCUGUUGGCUUGACAUCACAUGAUCACCUCAUGUCCUGGCAGCCACUUUGCAGGUGUGAGCUGUUUGUCUCUUUCUCCUGACUCAGGUUUGCUUAUCUCCAGAAAACUCUGCACCUUCCAAAAGGGCAGUGCCCCAGGGUCUGCAGCUGGAGUGUCCCAGGCAGCCAUUCUCGUAGGUGGCACUUUGACAAGUUUCUAGAAAACUCACCAUGUUCCCAGCCCCAGUUAGCAUGGGUAGGGACUCCAGCAGGCCAUGUGUGAGAAAGUCAGCAACCAGAAUGUGGAGCCCAG